UACGAAGGGUGCGAGCGUUAAUCGGAAUUACUGGGCGUAAAGGGUGCGUAGACGGCUCUUUAAGUCAGGUGUGAAAUCCCUGGGCUCAACCUGGGAAUGGCAUCUGAUACUGGAGAGCUUUGAUUCUGGAAGAGGAUGGUGGAAUUCCUGGUGUAGCGGUGAAAUGCGUAGAGAUCAGGAGGAACACUAGUGGCGAAGGCGGCCAUCUGGUCUAAGAAUGACGUUGAGGCACGAAAGCGUGGGGAGCAAACAGG
RNAcentral lists this ribosomal RNA (254 nucleotides) under uncultured bacterium. RNAcentral describes it as "partial 16S ribosomal RNA". It matches the Rfam family "Bacterial small subunit ribosomal RNA", at positions 524 to 776 of the family's 1533-position model. The record is from RNAcentral.